UUAGACUGUAUUUUCUUUUUGGGAUUCCAAACCUUGAGCAUAGUCGUUUUGAAAGAUCCCAUGUUAAUGGUCUUAUCAGAAAGGAUUUUAGCCAAAAUGGUGAAUUCAUUUUCCAUGAUUGGGGAGCAAUCAUUUUCGUCAGUGAAGGCAAGAGUGGUGGUUUGGGAUAUUAGGUCAUUAAUGGAGUUGGGUGGUUCCAUUGAGUGCGGAGGGGGGGAA
This 219-nucleotide long non-coding RNA is filed under the name Erythranthe guttata (spotted monkey flower). RNAcentral's name for it is "long non-coding RNA (EGUT_LNC002676)". The record is from RNAcentral. Lineage: Eukaryota; Viridiplantae; Streptophyta; Magnoliopsida; Lamiales; Phrymaceae.